AACCAACUGCUUUCGGGCCAUGAUAUCGACCAAUCCAAUUUUGUUGUUGUGUGCCAUUGCCUUUUGACUUUAUGUUGUAAAAGGAAUUACCAGUUUAAAGCCACAAACCAACCACCUUCUUCAAUGAGUAUAACAAAAUGAAGCAAUCAUGUUAGCGUUAGGGCAUUUAACAUAAGAUAAUUUCACUUUAUGCAAUGCACCUAGCCACAAUUACCGGUUCUAACAUGACUUCGAUGGUAUGAACUUCAUAUGGCAUCAUCCCAAUUUGUUUUUUUUUCAACCUCUCUUUUCUUCGCUUUUCUAGCACUUGCUUGCUCAUUUACCCUCCUCUUCUCUCUGCUGAUUAUCACUCUCUUCUUUCCUCUCAUUUCUAACAUCCCAUGAUUUCACCCCCUUUUUCUUUUUUUUCUUUUUUCUUUUCUUUUUCCUUUUAAUAAAAAAAAUAAUUCGAUCGAACCGUAUGUAGGUUGCGUACGUAUCAUGACCCCGUAUGAAUAAGAUCUUUGCGUAGUUCUGGAAGAUCGAGAAUGGAGCACAUAAACUAACUCAUUUUUUAUUUAUUUGUAUAUAGAUCAAACCAUGAAAGCUCUAAGAAACAAAAAAAAUAUCUUUUUUUUGAAAAUCAACUUGAAACCAUGUCAAUCCACCAAAACCAUCUGAUACUAAGCAACAAAGAUACAAAUCCAACCUUAUCUAACUCUUGACCNNNNNNNNNNNNNNNNNNNNNNNNNNNNNNNNNNNNNNNNNNNNNNNNNNNNNNNNNNNNNNNNNNNNNNNNNNNNNNNNNNNNNCCUUUUCUAAAGAUAAGCUACUAGCUGACGGCCAAAUCAUUUACAAAAGAUGGUCACAUAUGUAAAAAUUGGUCAAUUCUGCAAUUGUAGACAGUCUCACAAUAACUGACAAAGUUGCAACCUAAUGGUAAUCUCCCGAGCCAUGUUCUUGAACAACUAAAGCAAUGGUAAUUCAACCAAACAACUUUGCAGCCUCAAUACACUUAAAGCAAUUUCCAUAAACAAUUGCAAACCUCAACAAAUCAUCCAAAAAAGUAGUAAUCCCAAAAAAAAAACUUUUUCUUUUCAUUCUUUACUUUCUCCUUUCUCUUCUUCUUUUUCAUCAUUUUAAAUUUGUUUUAAGGAUAAUCCAAAGUAACGAUAACUAAAUAUUAAAUACUACUAAAUUAAAAUAGCAAAAUCAGAUAGAAAAUAUAGUAACUAUAUUAAAAGAAAUUAACUACUCUAUUACUAAGUAUUUCCUAAAGCCUACAACUAAAAAAAUUACUAUACUAGAUAAAACUAUAUUUUUGGAAACUCUACUUUCUUUGUACAUGAAAAUAAAAUUAAUACUCAAAAAAUGUAACUCUUUUGUAGUUUUUUUUUAAAAUUUGUUAAAUAAACCAACUACAAAGUGAAAUAAAGACUAAAAUAUCGAGAUUAAACUUAAUAAAUAUAUUUACAUGCUAAAAAAUUGCGUGAAAAUCCAAAUAACACGGUAAAAACAAAAUAACUGCUCAACCUGGCAGAAUUUACUGAAAGCAAAUCGAAAUUUUAAUGCACUAAGCAAUAUUUUUCAGCUUGUAAUUCCAUGUUAACUGAAUCACCAAACAUUUGUAAUCAUCUUAGCAGAAAAAUCAGCUCACUAGACAACUGAUGCAAAAAGUGCAGAUUUUCAAAGUUGUUUCGACAACUUUCAAUAGCACUCUAAAACACUCUUAUUUGAGUUCAAAAUUCUUGAAACAAGCUCUAAUGUCCAAACCUAAUUUCAGGUUCACAAAAUAUUGUAGAAAAAUACAAAUAAUGCUUAGGGAACUUGUAUUACAUCAACAUAUUUCAUUUAAAUGUAAAAUUAUAAGAUACAAAUAGGCUUGCAGGUUCGCUAUUCAAUUUCUUCUCAAAACUCAGAACUUCAGCAACACCUUGAGUAGCAAGCUGGCAGGUUCGCUAAUCUAUUGCUUCUCAAAACUCAGAACUUCAACAACAUCUUGAGCACUAAAUUCAGCAGCAGUAGGCACAGAAAUUUUCAGCUCAGGAUGACAACUUCAACAGUAGAAAUAAAGCAUCGGAAUCACAACAAUAUUGAGUCAGAAUAGCCACAAAGUAUAGCUGAAUAGUGUAAGAUAUACGUAAAAAAAAACAGUUCAAAACUUGAAUUUCAAUAGUGUAUUGUUGGCAUAUAAACUGAAGCUAAACUGAAGCAAUGCGUACUUGGAUGCCAAAUAUGUUGUUGAUAAAUGCAGAACUUAGCACAUUAUAUAUAUAGAUUUUUACUAAUAUCCUGCUCUUCUCAAUUUUCAGCUGCUUAGGAAAAGAUCAACCUUGUAAAGAUCAAUAUUUACAACUAAAACAUGCUGGAAAAACACGUAUAAUAAUACUUCUAUAAGAUCCCAUUUUACAUCCACUUUGAGAACAUGAAUGUUAGAACAACUAACUCCAGACGUGUUGCAAUGUAAAAUAAUACAACAACUAAAAGAUCAAAUCACUCCAAGUAAAAAAAUAAUCUACGUCAAUACAUUACAAUCCACUUUAUUGUACUGUCAGAGCGAAGAAGAAAGCCAUUAGAGGAUAAUACAUUGUGGAGAUGAAACAGAACAAUACAGAACUACGGGUAGCAAGCACGAAAUCUUUGGCAGCAACAAUUAUUGCCCGGCAAACCUUUAACUUCUAUCAGCAGAUUCUAACCAACUGGAAAAUAGCUUAUGUAACAAGAGCGCUCAAUUCAACAAAGAGAACCCUUUUUUAGACGAAAAAAAUCAGAUUUUGACUAUCACUGAUGAACUCAAGCACAAUCUCAACAAACAUACAUUUUUGACAUAUUUAGCUUCCUAUAUGUUCAACAAAAUCACAAGUCAAGCAUGCUCAAUCUCUAGUCCCACUGAAUCCCCUCUAUUAAACUCAACAAUAACAACAACUAUUAGAAACCAGUGAUAGCAAGUUCAAAUUAGGAGAAUUUCAACUAUCAAUUUACUCCAAAAACUUCACAAAUAGUAGCAAACUUCAACAAGACAAGAUUCAGAACUCCACAGUCUUAUCACAAAGAUAAUUGGUGUUCAAUGUAAAAUUUUCUUUCAAACAUUGGCCCACGAAUAAUUCAUAGAUUGAAUUAAAAUCACAAAACCGUGCUCCAACAAACAAAGACUGAUCUCAAUAGAACUUUCGUCAGCAUAAAAGAAGUUUGACAAGAGAAUUCCAACUUGAACUCUAAGAAUUUAAAUAAUGGAUUCCAUUGACACAACUCAGUUCACACAAUUUCCAACAAGCAACUUCUGAAUUCUAAAACUACCUAUGUGGCCAAAAGUGACUUGAAGUGCAAAUUUUGGCUAUGACCCCGCAAAGCCAAGAAUCUAAGAUUUACUAGGAAGAUCGGACCCUAUAUGGGUUGCCUACGUAUCACGCCCCGAAAGACAAGAAUCAGGUUUGUGUAGUUCGGGCAAAUUGGGUACGGGCAAAAAUAAAAAAACAGCUAACUUUUAGAGAAACCAUGUUCUUUUGUUUUUCUUUUUGGAAAGUGAUGAAACAUGUAAACUCUUUUUGGAUUUUCUUUUUCCUUCUUUUUAGCGCAAAAUCUUUUUUUGAAUUUUUCAUGUAUAUAUUUUUUCUUUUUAAAAAAUAAAAUAAAAAUGUAACAAAAACAUAACUAGAUCCUCUUGCUUCAUUUUUACACUUCACCCUCUCUUUUCCUUUUUGAUUGUUUUUUUUUUUAAUUUUUUCAUUUACCCUCAACUAUCAUUGGUCCGCCAAAUGACUCUUUUACCCUUGAAUGAAUGCAACAUGUAGAACAUAGGAUGCAUCAAGAUGGUCUUUUAUUUUAGGGUAAACCUGUCCUAGACGGACCCAACCCCUAUGUUGAGUCCCCUAAGUCAAAUGCAAAUGAUUCAAAUAAGCGUUCCUACUAGGGAUCCGGAAUGAGGUCUUAUUAUACUAGAUUUAAAUCCUGGGGUUUUGAUCUAGACAUUGGGUACCCGAGCGGACAACUGGGGCCAAGAUGAGGGCGAUGUACCGGGAGCACUAAAGUCUUCCCAGUCUUGUCGCUUGCCCAUCCUCGCUCUAUUUUGGUAAAAUUUCUACAGAAAAAGCGGGCUACGCAAACGUAUGCAUCAUUUUCAGAAGACUCAGAAGGGGUGGCAUAAGAAAGCGAUUAUAUACAAUUCAACAAUAUUAAAGCAGUAAACAGAUAAUAACUUAGCACAAAGGUUCGCAAAAAUAUAAUAAUAUCAACAAUAAAUAAGCCAAGUAAAAAUCAUAAAACAAGAUCGAAUUCUUGAACCUUGAAUCUAAGUUCAUUCCCCAGCAGAGUCGCCAUAGCUGUCACACCUCCUUUUUCACUACUACAUCCCGGAAAAGGUAUAAUAAAGGGAGUUUUUCAAAUUUAAGUAACAAUCGAAACAGGAUUAAUUAUUAAAAGUCAGAGUCGCCACUUGGGAUAAUUUAUGGUGUCCCAAGUCACCGGUUUAAAAUCCCGAAUCGAGGAAAGAAUGACUCUGUUAUUAUAGUCUACGAAUAAUAAAUCCGGAUAAGGAAUUCUGUUAACCCGUGAGAAGGUAUUAGACACUCUCGUGUUCCGUGGUUCUAGCACGGUUGUUUUGACUAUACUAGGCUAAUAAAAUUGUUUAAUUACUGAUUUUGAACCUAUGUGCUUUUGCUUCUUUCACCGCUUUUAAUAAGAAAAUUAUCUUGAAACGGGUUACGUGUAUGUAUACCCGCUUGUUUGGCGCGUCAAAAAUCAUGUCACACGAACGUGUCCAUAAUUAAUAACGCUUUAUUUUUAUUAAGAAAAUUUGGGCCAAAGUGGUGCGAACGCAUACUCUGGUUUGGUUUUUAGAAGUGUAAUUGUGUUACACGGACGUAUACGCAAUCGCAUUAGUAAUUUUAAACGGACCUAAAGGAUAUCCUAUGAAAUUUUGUCAAUCUUGUAUCUAAUUUAUGAAAUUACUUAGAAGGCCCUAUGUUAUUUAAUAAACUUAUUUAAACUAAAGAUAAUUAAAACUUAUAACCAACUUUAUUAUUAAGAAAAGAUUGGUCGAAGUUGCGCGAACGCAUACUCCAAAUUAGUUUAGAAUUAUACUCGUGUUACGCGAACGUAUACGCAACUACAAUUGUAUUUUAAACGGUCCUAAAGGCUCACUACGAAUAUUAAUCAAUUUUGUAUCUACAUUAACACGAGGGCCAUGCAUUUGUCAUUUUCAUUUGACACGGUGCACCUCAAAUUUUCUAUAAAACUAUGAGAUUUGAACUAAUAUGCAGAGAAGGUAAUUGAGAUACUACAACAACUAAAAUUAGGUUAAUAUACAUAAACUUAAUUCCUACAACUCUCACUUCCAACAAUUAGAUAGCCAAUCAGAUGGAAAACGGUCUGUUAACACAUAAAAAUGAUUUUAGCCAUUUUAUCCCAUUAUAAAUGUAGCCCCUAUUGCGUUUCAAAGCCGUAGCCACUUAGCUUUUUAAAACCUAUUAAUUUUUAUGACUAAAGGAGGGAAUAGUAAUGCCAACACUAUAAUCUCAAUCAUUAACAAACGAACAUCAAUUUUUGGUCACGAUUAUUCAUAGAUUUAUGGAACAAUUUAUAAAAUCCAACUCUUGAAAGCAACAAGCAAUGUAUUUCUAUACCAAUUCCAAGCCCCUGCCCCACUGAUUCACUCAUAUUCACAAUAAGAGCCACUUGAUUCCAAAACGAUCAUACUGUGGGAAUAUAUAAGAACACCAAAUGAAAGCACUAGUAGAUUUCUAUAUUAUCUAAAUCAAAAUCAGGUAGCUAACUCGAUCCCACUGAUUUUUGGACCAUCAUAACAAUAACACAAUUCUAUAAUUUCAUAAACAGUAAAAUAGGAGAAAACCAAGUGAGCAAAUCAAACAUAUGCACUAUUUUCAAAUCAGAAAUUCACACAAGUUGAAACACGGACAGAAAUAGAAAGCUGGAACGACUGACCGUAUGGCAAUUACACCAACGACCAGAAUUCGAAUCGUAAACUCAAACGGACACAUAACGCAAUGACAGUAGCAAUUAAUUUCCAGCUUUAACCAAAUUUCGGACAUAAAACAGAGAUAUAAAGGAGAGGGGAUUGACCUGAGCAAUAUUACUUUAACCAAUUUGAUUUGCAAAGCAAUUACAAUUGGAAUCCAAACUGUAAUAGCAACAAAGAAUUCCACCGUGAACCUCGGAAGGCGACGAACCAGCUUUAAACCUCAAACUCGCAUCCAUUUUUUGAAACCAAAUCCGAAAUCAAAGAUGAUAAACAACAUUUUUGAGAAAACGACCAUAUGUAAUCUGAAAGAAGAUCGACUUUUACAAUCGCAACAAUUCUCAAAUCAUCAAGCAAACAAGAACCUUGAAUAGGGAAACCAAAUGACUCGCCGGAACCUCAAGGACGACCUCGGAUCUGCUAACGAAAAGUGGUCGGCUCGACCUAGACCAGACUAGAGAGCUUCUGACCAACCUGAAUCUCGACAAAAUUUCAAACUUGAACCCAAAAUCGAAGACAGAGUAACGACAACCCAAAAUCUGAAAAGGCGACGAGAAUUUUGAGGUCUGCUACUAUUUUUAAAAGAUGAAAAGAGGACGAGAGCUACUGGUUUGAACCCUUGCUUUGAAAAGAAUGGACAUUGGGCCUAACUCAACCCAAAAGCUAGCUUAUGAGGUGAGGAUUGCCCAAGCCAUAUAAGGAGACCAAGGACCUCAAAUCCCUCCGAUGUGGGACAACUCAACAUGCUUUGCCGGAUUCAAUGGAAGGCCACUGAAACUAUACAUUUUCCGGUGAGCUGGGUUUGGGUGUGCUGCUGAAAACGGCUGCUGUGAGGGAACAGAGGAGAUGGUAAAUGGAUAAAGGGCGAGGGUGGUGUGUCUGGUGUUGUGCGACUUAUUUUCCGACGAGGUGUCGUUUUGGUUGAAGAGGCAGAACGUUGGAGAGGGGUUUUUGGGUGUCCUCUGCGUAGCCUUUGUAUUGCAGGCGUAUAUUUUUGUUAUGUGUAUUUUCUUCAAGACUUAGGCAUUAGGUUUUUUAGGUGGGGAAAUGGUUUUUAGGUGUUGGAUCGGGUCGGGUCGAUCCGAUUU
This 7041-nucleotide long non-coding RNA is filed under the name Nicotiana benthamiana. RNAcentral describes it as "long non-coding RNA (NBEN_LNC034832)". Lineage: Eukaryota; Viridiplantae; Streptophyta; Magnoliopsida; Solanales; Solanaceae. The record is from RNAcentral.